GUAACUAAGAAGCAAGUCCAGAAAUGUUUAAUGGAUACAGCUACAGAUGACAUUCAGUGGCGUAUUUUAAGUGGGAAGAGUCGCUUCCCUGAUCAUCUACCUCUUCUUUCCAGUGCAGCAGUAAUCUUUAGGGAGCGCUUUGAUCCUAUUGUUGCCAAAUCUGGACGAGAUCUUAUACCUGUUAUGGUUUAUGGGAGAAACAUCUCAGGUCAAGAAUUUGGGGGAAUGUAUUGCAUCGUUUUGAUUGUGAAGUCAGUAGUUGUAUCAGCUGCUCUUCUCAGGAUUUUUGGGCAAGAGGUUGCUGAACUCCCUAUGGUGGCUACAAGUAGAGCAAACCAGGGCAAAGGUUAU
RNAcentral lists this unclassified non-coding RNA (351 nucleotides) under Hevea brasiliensis (rubber tree). The record is from RNAcentral. Lineage: Eukaryota; Viridiplantae; Streptophyta; Magnoliopsida; Malpighiales; Euphorbiaceae.